CAGCAGCCGCGGUAAUACGGAGGGUGCAAGCGUUAAUCGGAAUUACUGGGCGUAAAGCGCACGCAGGCGGUUUGUUAAGUCAGAUGUGAAAUCCCCGAGCUUAACUUGGGAACUGCAUUUGAAACUGGCAAGCUAGAGUCUUGUAGAGGGGGGUAGAAUUCCAGGUGUAGCGGUGAAAUGCGUAGAGAUCUGGAGGAAUGCCGGUGGCGAAGGCGGCCCCCUGGACAAAGACUGACGCUCAGGUGCGAAAGCGUGGGGAGCAAACAGGAUUAGAUACCCGCGUAGUCCCUGUCUCUUAUAC
RNAcentral lists this ribosomal RNA (301 nucleotides) under uncultured bacterium. Its description in RNAcentral is "partial 16S ribosomal RNA". It matches the Rfam family "Bacterial small subunit ribosomal RNA", at positions 509 to 807 of the family's 1533-position model. The record is from RNAcentral.